UAGGUUUGAGAGUGAUGCUGGUUGUUGACAGAAGAUAGAGAGCACUAAGGAUGACAUGCAAGUACAUAUGUAUGUAUCAUCACACCGCCUGUGGAUGAUUACAAAAAUAAAACCAAUUCAAAAGAGAGAGAGAGAGAGCCUGCAUGUCUACUCUUUCGUGCUCUCUAUACUUCUGUCACCACCAUUAUUUCUUCUUCUUUCUUACCUA
Molecule: microRNA precursor, 208 nt
Filed under: Brassica napus (rape)
Lineage: Eukaryota; Viridiplantae; Streptophyta; Magnoliopsida; Brassicales; Brassicaceae
Description: miR156b stem-loop (bna-MIR156b)
Gene: bna-MIR156b
Source: miRBase by way of RNAcentral